This 21-nucleotide non-coding RNA is filed under the name Arabidopsis thaliana (thale cress). Lineage: Eukaryota; Viridiplantae; Streptophyta; Magnoliopsida; Brassicales; Brassicaceae. The record is from RNAcentral.
CACUUUCGGGUCAUCCUUGGA